Molecule: unclassified non-coding RNA, 160 nt
Filed under: uncultured Helotiales
Lineage: Eukaryota; Fungi; Ascomycota; Leotiomycetes; Helotiales
Description: sequence contains ITS1
Source: RNAcentral
CAGAGUUCAUGCCCUUACGGGUAGAUCUCCCACCCUUGAAUACUAUACCUUUGUUGCUUUGGCGGGCCGCUUCGGCUACCGGCUUCGGCUGGUAAGUGCCCGCCAGAGGACCCUAAACUCUGAAUUAUUAGUGUCGUCUGAGUAAAAUAUUUAAUAUUUA